RNAcentral lists this ribosomal RNA (486 nucleotides) under Triticum aestivum (bread wheat). Its description in RNAcentral is "partial small subunit ribosomal RNA". The record is from RNAcentral. Lineage: Eukaryota; Viridiplantae; Streptophyta; Magnoliopsida; Poales; Poaceae.
AUGGACAUGGUGAGAACCUUAAUCUCAUGCGCAGUCAACUUACUUUGGGUGGCCUUUACAUCAGCUAGAUGUGAAGAAUGCUUUUCUUCAUGGUGGUUAUUUACAAGAAGAGAUCCAUAUGGACAUUCCUCCAGGUUUUGGAACAAACAGACUGAUGGGAAGGUGUGUAGGCUCAAGAAAUCUUUGUAUGGCUUGAAACAGUCGCCACGGGCGUGGACAGGUUCAGGAGAGUUGUUUGUGGUAUGGGCUACUCUCAGUGUAAUGGAGAUCAUACAGUACCGGCAUAGACGAAUCCAUAUCACCAUUUUGGCGGUGUAUGUGGAUGAUAUUGUGAUUACUGGAGACGAUAUUGAAGAAAUAAAAUGUUUGAAGGCAAGACUGGGAGAAGCAUUUGAGGUAAAGGAUCUUGGACCUCUUCGAUACUUCCUUCGGAUUGAGAUUGUUCGGUCGAAGAAGGGGGUAACAUUAAGUAUAGUGAACAGGUAG